GGAAUAAUGGAAAUAGAUGCAAAGUUAACUACAAACAGCGGGAGUCCAGGGAGUUGGAAAGGGAUGGAGAAUUCAGGCUGUUAGAGUAAUGCAAUGCAGAGUGCCUGCUCCGUUUCUGCAGGUGCUGCUCAGGGACAAACACUGCCUCUGGGAAACCUGCCCGAGUUCUGGAAGGAGCCAUAGAUACACCAGGGAGCACCAGUCCUGCAGCCCUGCAAAAUCCAGCGGUUUGCUGUGCCUUCCAGAAUUGCUCUCAAUUGUGCCAACAGCUUUUUUAAGUUUUGUUUCAUACAUAGUAACAGGACAAGAGACAACUGCUAGAGUGCAGAAAACUGUUUGCAAAUCAGUAAAAACAAGAUAGACUUGCCACAGAGGGCACCCCAUGCUCAGGCUCCUGAGGCAAAUGGCAGGAGAAAAAUCAAGCAGGCUGUGUUUAGAAGAGAAAAAGAAGCCUCCUGGAAUGCAGUCCUCAAUGCCAAGUACACUUUGUAUAGAGUACCAUGGAAAAACAGCAUUUAAAAAUGGAAAGGUCAGGAUCUUGACCUGCUUGACUUCCACAAAUGGUAAAAUAUGCUGACUGGGGAAGAAGAAUGUAUGCAUGGAGGUAUGGGACACGCAAGUGAGAGUUAAUAUCCAUGAAGACAAUUAAUCUUGCUUUUAUUGUUCUGUGUCAGUACAGUUAAAAAUAUGCAGGUGGAGCUCUUCCUAUCAUUCUCCAUGUGUUCUGAAUAUUCCUAAAUGAAGACUGAUUGCAUGGAAUUACCUUAGGCCUCUGUUAGUUUAACUUUCCUGCCUGUUUUUAUAACUACAGAGAUAGUUGUAAUGAUGUGCACAUCUCAAAUGCUGUGUGAUGCAGGUGUAACUCCUGCUUUAAAGGGUAAAGCCUGUUUCAUCUAUGACCUCAUGUUUGUAAAUACAUGCAAUUUCAGUCGUGCUAAAUAUGACAUGGCUAUGUACUUAUAACAAGUGACAACUGAUGCAAUUAAAACAUUAAUUUUUAUCAUACCAAAUGCAGUGUUUCAGCUGAAUGUAUUUAGUAGAAAUGAUGAUAGUGGAGAAAUAUUUUAAAACUGAGAACACAUCAGUCAUCCACCAAAUGAGACAGACUUGAAAUUGAUUUCCCAUGAUUUUCCUUGCAGUUUCCAUGUUAGAAUUUUGAGACUUUCUAAAAUGAAUUUCAGCAGACAGUGGAGGAAAGAUGCGAAGAGUGAAACUCUGAGGGCCAUUCUGCUCAGUGCUGCCAUGCCAGACAACUGGUGGGAGCCUCGCAGAGCGAAAUGUGUAACCACCAGUCCUGUGUUUUCUGCACACUUAUGAGCAACAUUCUAUAUUUGAAGAUGCCUGUAGCCCUGUGGGUGCCAGAGAGCUUGCAGGACAUGGGUAAUGCUUCUCACAUUUUAC
RNAcentral lists this long non-coding RNA (1401 nucleotides) under Phasianus colchicus (ring-necked pheasant). RNAcentral's name for it is "lncRNA (ENSPCLG00000008125.1)". Lineage: Eukaryota; Metazoa; Chordata; Aves; Galliformes; Phasianidae. The record is from RNAcentral.